RNAcentral lists this ribosomal RNA (465 nucleotides) under uncultured bacterium. Its description in RNAcentral is "partial 16S ribosomal RNA". It matches the Rfam family "Bacterial small subunit ribosomal RNA", at positions 338 to 795 of the family's 1533-position model. The record is from RNAcentral.
CCUACGGGGGGCAGCAGUAGGGAAUCUUCCACAAUGGGCGAAAGCCUGAUGGAGCAACGCCGCGUGGGUGAAGAAGGUCUUCGGAUCGUAAAACCCUGUUGUUAGAGAAGAAAGUGCGUGAGAGUAACUGUUCACGUUUCGACGGUAUCUAACAAGAAAGCCACGGCUAACUACGUGACAGCAGCCGCGGUAAUACGUAGGUGGCAAGCGUUAUCCGGAUUUAUUGGGCGUAAAGGGAACGCAGGCGGUCUUUUAAGUCUGAUGUGAAAGCCUUCGGCUUAACCGGAGUAGUGCAUUGGAAACUGGGAGACUUGAGUGCAGAAGAGGAGAGUGGAACUCCAUGUGUAGCGGUGAAAUGCGUAGAUAUAUGGAAGAACACCAGUGGCGAAAGCGGCUCUCUGGUCUGUAACUGACGCUGAGGUUCGAAAGCGUGGGUAGCAAACAGGAUUAGAUACCCGGGUAGUC